Molecule: unclassified non-coding RNA, 292 nt
Filed under: Hevea brasiliensis (rubber tree)
Lineage: Eukaryota; Viridiplantae; Streptophyta; Magnoliopsida; Malpighiales; Euphorbiaceae
Source: RNAcentral
CAAGAAUGGAACUAAGCUUUUUGUUUGAACCCUUUUUCAUAUUCUUCUUCUUCUUCAUCUCCCCUUCUCUUUGUUGCCCUCCAUAUCAGAAAGAAGCCCUCCACCAUUUCAAAUUUCUAUUACUCGGAAACACUUCCUCCAUUUCUAACAUGGACCUUUAUGGGUUAGAGACGUGGAACUCCACUUCUGAUGACUGCUGUCAAUGGGAAAAAGUCCUCUCUGCUUCGCAAAAGGUGACUGCUCUUAACUUUUAUGAACUCAUUCCCUCGCUAGACUUGAAAACAAUAGUGAC